This 262-nucleotide unclassified non-coding RNA is filed under the name plant metagenome. RNAcentral's name for it is "partial contains small subunit ribosomal RNA, internal transcribed spacer 1, and 5.8S ribosomal RNA". The record is from RNAcentral.
UCUCCGUUGGUGAACCAGCGGAGGGAUCAUUACCGAGUUUACAACUCCCAAACCCAAUGUGAACGUUACCAAACUGUUGCCUCGGCGGGAUCUCUGCCCCGGGUGCGUCGCAGCCCCGGACCAAGGCGCCCGCCGGAGGACCAACCAAAACUCUUGUUGUAUACCCCCUCGCGGGUUUUUUUAUAAUCUGAGCCUUCUCGGCGCCUCUCGUAGGCGUUUCGAAAAUGAAUCAAAACUUUCAACAACGGAUCUCUUGGUUCUG